GACGAACGCUGGCGGCGUGCUUAACACAUGCAAGUCGAGCGGAAAGGCCCUUCGGGGUACUCGAGCGGCGAACGGGUGAGUAACACGUGAGUAACCUGCCCCAGACUUUGGGAUAACCCUCGGAAACGGGGGCUAAUACCGGAUACGACACAGCUUCGCAUGGGGUCUGUGUGGAAAGUUUUUCGGUUUGGGAUGGGCUCGCGGCCUAUCAGCUUGUUGGUGGGGUGAUGGCCUACCAAGGCGACGACGGGUAGCCGGCCUGAGAGGGCGACCGGCCACACUGGGACUGAGACACGGCCCAGACUCCUACGGGAGGCAGCAGGGGGGAAUAUUGCACGAUGGGCGGAAGCCUGAUGCAGCGAAGCCGCGUGAGGGAGGACGGCCUUCGGGUUGUAAACCUCUUUCAGCAGGGACGAAGCGUAAGUGACGGUACCUGCAGAAGAAGCGCCGGCCAACUACGUG
RNAcentral lists this ribosomal RNA (462 nucleotides) under uncultured bacterium. Its description in RNAcentral is "partial 16S ribosomal RNA". It matches the Rfam family "Bacterial small subunit ribosomal RNA", at positions 28 to 507 of the family's 1533-position model. The record is from RNAcentral.